UAUCAAUAAUAUUAUAAAUAGGGUUAGAUUUUUUGUUUGUAAUAGAUAAAAUCUAAAACUACAAAACUGAUUUUUUUAAAAAUUCACCAUUGAGUAACACAGGCAUGCUACAAUAUCUAGGACUAAUGCAUCAAUUUAAAGUAUUAGUUGCCAAGUAAGAAAAAUUAUUUCCUUUGGAGAGGUUCCAUCAGUUUGUUAGGCUACCUCAGAAUGGAUUCUAAUUUAAAAUUGUAUUGUUGCUGGAUAUUCUAAGGCAACAGGCAAUUUUAUAACUUACAAAAAAUAGUCAAGAAUAUAAGUUUUGUAAAACCUUAAACCAAAGCAGCUUAUAUAUGAGAUGGGUUUAAUAAUGUUCUACAAUAUAUAGUAUUGUGUUACAUAAUCUGACUUAUGAUAUUGUGAAGUCUCAAAGGGGUAGAGAUCUACUUUUGGUAAAUGGCUAUACCUAUGCUAUGAACACUGAACGUCGUUGGAUAUGCUCUACUCACCAUCCUAAGUGCAAAGUGAAGUUGUAUCUUGAGUCUAAUGGUCGAAUAUCAUCCUUAACUGGAGAUCAUAUACAUGGUCCUAAAAAAAUAUUCAACUAUAAUGGUCGUAUUGUGAGGUUGUAAUGCUUAAUAAAUUAACAUGAGUUAUGUUAAUACUUUAGUUUAGGUACAGAAUUAAGUGACAUUAUUUUUUUUUAAUUAAAUUUAAACUGUAGGACAAGGUAAUUUAGUUCUGUUAUUUAAGACCUACUAAUUUUUUUUAUUUGUAUUAAGUGAGUUAUGACAUUGUUUUAACCAUUUUGUGUAUUAUAUUUGUACUUAUGUU
Pieris napi is the source of this 813-nucleotide long non-coding RNA. RefSeq lists it as uncharacterized. The transcript has 2 exons. NCBI's taxonomy places the organism in Eukaryota, Metazoa, Arthropoda, Insecta, Lepidoptera, Pieridae. The record is from RefSeq and is a predicted model, not a curated record.